UACGGGAGGCAGCAGUAGGGAAUCUUCCACAAUGGACGCAAGUCUGAUGGAGCAACGCCGCGUGAGUGAAGAAGGCUUUCCGGGUCGUAAAACUCUGNUGUGGAGAAGAAUGGUCGGCAGAGUAACUNUGUCGGCGUGACG
This 141-nucleotide ribosomal RNA is filed under the name uncultured Lactobacillus sp. RNAcentral's name for it is "partial 16S ribosomal RNA". It matches the Rfam family "Bacterial small subunit ribosomal RNA", at positions 340 to 474 of the family's 1533-position model. Lineage: Bacteria; Bacillati; Bacillota; Bacilli; Lactobacillales; Lactobacillaceae. The record is from RNAcentral.